This 247-nucleotide ribosomal RNA is filed under the name uncultured bacterium. RNAcentral describes it as "partial 16S ribosomal RNA". It matches the Rfam family "Bacterial small subunit ribosomal RNA", at positions 523 to 769 of the family's 1533-position model. The record is from RNAcentral.
AUACGUAGGGGGCUAGCGUUAUCCGGAAUUACUGGGCGUAAAGGGUGCGUAGGUGGCCAAAUAAGUCAGGUGUGAAAGACCGGGGCUCAACCCCGGGGUUGCACUUGAAACUGCAUGGCUUGAGUACAGGAGAGGGAAGUGGAAUUCCUAGUGUAGCGGUGAAAUGCGUAGAUAUUAGGAGGAACACCGGUGGCGAAGGCGACUUUCUGGACUGUAACUGACACUGAGGCACGAAAGCGUGGGGAGC